RNAcentral lists this ribosomal RNA (960 nucleotides) under uncultured candidate division CAB-I bacterium. RNAcentral's name for it is "bacterial SSU rRNA". It matches the Rfam family "Bacterial small subunit ribosomal RNA", at positions 9 to 994 of the family's 1533-position model. The record is from RNAcentral.
GAGUUUGAUUAUGGCUCAGGAUGAACGCACAAGACGUGCCUAACACAUGCAAAUCGAAUGAAACCAAUAAUUAAUUAUUGGUUUCAUGGUGAACGGGUGAGUAACACAUAAGAAUCAGCUUUUAGAUAAGGCAUAAAAGAGUAAUAUCUUGGUAAUUCCUUAUAUGCGCAGCAGUGCUUAAAAAGGGGACUCCCGUCUAAAAACGAGCUUAUGCCUGAUUAGCUAGUUGGCGAGUUAAAAGCUCACCAAGGCGAAGAUCAGUAGCUGGCCUGAGAGGGCGGCCAGCCACAUUGGGACUGAGACACGGCCCAAACUCCUACGGGAGGCAGCAGUGGGGAAUCUUCUGCAAUGGGCGCAAGCCUGACAGAGCGGCGUCGUGUGAAGGAAGAAGGCCCGAAAUAGGUUGUAAACUUCUUUUACUGAGUAAUGAAUAAUGACAACGCAGUAAAAAAGUAUCGGCUAACUCCGUGCCAGCAGCCGCGGUAAUACGGGGGAUGCAAGCGUUAUCCGGAAUCACUGGGCGUAAAGCGUCUGUAGGUGGUUUAGUGUGUUCUUAGUUAAAUUAUGAAGCCUAACUUCAUGAAAAGUAAGAAAACUAUUAGACUUGAGUACGAUAGGGGUAAGAGGAAUUCUUCGAGAAGUAGUGAAAUGCGAAGAUACGAAGGAGAAGAUCAUAAGCGAAGGCUUCUUACUGGGUCGUAACUGACACUGAGAGACGAAAGCUAGGGGAGCGAAUGGGAUUAGAUACCCCAGUAGUCCUAGCUGUAAACGAUGGAUAUUCGGUGCCGGAUUUUAUUAGAACAUUUUGGUACCCUAGCUAACGCGUUAAAUAUCCCGCCUGAGGAGUACGCCCGCAAGGGUGAAACUCAAAGGAAUUGACGGGGGCUCGCACAAGCGGUGGAGCAUGUGGUUUAAUUCGAUGCAAAGCGAAGAACCUUACCAGGGCUUGACAGUAUGUAU